This 5226-nucleotide long non-coding RNA is filed under the name Nicotiana benthamiana. RNAcentral describes it as "long non-coding RNA (NBEN_LNC012693)". Lineage: Eukaryota; Viridiplantae; Streptophyta; Magnoliopsida; Solanales; Solanaceae. The record is from RNAcentral.
AGGAACACGGACCUGUCACUAUCCCAGAACAGUGUUGCAGCCUCUCCGAUUUUUUUGUUAGGCUGGAUCUCUAGAAGAGAAGGCAAACUCCCUAAGUAUUUGCGGACGAGCGUUUGAUCACUGGAGUGGACGUCUUUCAACCAAUUUAGCAGCCUUGGGUGAAUGUUGGUUACCAUGCCAAAUCUGGGGACUUCGUGCCUUAUUUCUGCAACGCAAAGUGUUAGGCCCUUACCCCACCGAACUUGACUAUUUAACCAAUAAUUAGCAUAGCAAGCAUUUAGUUCUCCAAAAAAAUGCACAGAACACGGAGGUGUCUGCUUGGGUUUCAGGGAAACCCGAUGGAAUUUGGACUAGGCUAUCUUAAUGAGUCAUUAUGUGGACAACAUAACUGACUCGGCUAGAUUUGACCGUGAUGCCUGUACAGUUAAACAGAGUAAGGUUUCUAUUAGAGUAUUAUACAAGUGCCCUUGAGCGGACAACUUAAGAGGGAAAGGCAGGGAAUCGUCGACUGUGCCGGUGGUUGACUGGUUUUACCUCAAAUAUGCCUAUGCAAAAUUUAAAGGGUGAUAAUAUUGGAUGGGCGCAACCACUCAUUUAAGCAUUGCUAUGGUAUUUGUUUGGCACGAGUGGAAUAUGAUGUUAAAGAUGCAAUUUACAAGAAUGAAAUAUAUUGACAUGUAUUUCUAGGUUCAUAAGAUAAUGAUUACAAUAAUUGCUCCAUUACAACAGUAUAGAAAUAAAGCGGUAAAAGAAAGCAAUUAAAGGAAAGAAAAGACAUGACGAGCCAAGUCAGUUUCACAGUAAAGGAAAUAAAGAAAGUAAGUAAAUGCAAUUUAAAGAUAAUAAAGCCACAAGUAGAAUACGAUGGUAAAAGCCCAGAGAAAUCCCUAGCAGAGUCCCCAAGAUGUCGACGCCCCCUUUUUCUAAAGCGAUAAAUAUAUCAUUCAAAAUCAAGUAUAUGAUAUUUAGGAGGACAACUCUAUUCCCUUUUGAGAAGUAGGUUUUUUGAAGUUUGAAGAGUCGCCACCUAAUGUUUAUAGUGCAUUAGGACACUUUGUUAAGAAGAAUUUGAGAUGAAACCAGAGUUUGGGUAAGGGCUAGAAAUUAUCUCGAGGGGAAGGUGUUAGGCACUCCUCAAAAUCCACUAGUGUAGUUCCCGGACAUACUACAUUUGUGACUUUAAACAACAAGGAAACAAAUAAAAGUCUCAAGUAGAGGGGUUUUCCAUAAAAUUGCAAGUAAGUUUAAGAAUUUGAAAAUAAAAAGAGUAGAAAGUUUAAAAGGAUAAUUUUGAACAACUUAAAGAAGAGCAACAAGUAAAAAAGAAAGGGGUCCUAGGUUUGCAAAUAAUAUGGAUCACAUCAAUGCGAUACCCAGCAUACACUCUUCAAAAGAGGGGUCGCACGUGAUAUUAGUGCAUCGGUCAUCAUAUCCAUAUUCUACCCUUCCCACCCAGUUAAGGUAUUAAAGCGCGGAAAGUCUCGUUACUUAUUGCAUGCUAGUACACGUUCCAAUCCUAUCAGUCCCGGAAGUUCCAUAACAUUGCAAGUAAGUAUAAGAUUUGAAACUAAAAAGAGUAGAAAGUUUAAAAGGACAAUUUUAAACAACUUAAAGAAGAGCAACAAGUAAAAAGGAAAGGGGGUCCUAGGUUUUGCAAAUAAUAUGGAUCACAUCAAUGCAAUACCCAGCAUACACUCUUCAAAAGAGGGAUCGCACGUGAUAUUAGUGCAUCGGUCAUCAUAUCCAUAUUCAACCCUUCCCACCCAGUUAAGGUAUUAAAGCGCGGAAAGUCUCGUUACUUAUUGCAUGCUAGUGCUCGUCCGAAUCCUAUCAGUCCUAAUCCUAAAGGGAAAGGGAAUUUGGGGUCGUUUGAGAUUUUUCAAAGGAUAAAAUGCUAGGGAGACAUUCAAAACAUGUAAUACAAGUAUGGGAAAAACAUGUAAGCAAAUAGGGCUCAACUAAGCCUCCUCGAAUCACAUAAAGGCAUAUAGUUUAGCAUGUAUUUCACGUACUGGUUUGGUCUGUAUCAAAUUAAGGCGAUAGGCGGACUAUUUAAACACAUAUUUAUUAGAUAAGAAGUCUGCAUUAUGUCUGCUGGAAUGCUGUUGUAAAAGACUGAUCCAAUUGAUUAAUUGCCACCUUUUGUCUAUGUGUAGAACAGAACUACUGAUGUUGAAAACAAACUGAUUAUAAAAGAGUUACUAGUUUUAUUAGAGUAAAACAAGUUUCAGGAAAUAUGCAACCUCAUUGUAAAAGGUUUACCAGUUUUUAAUAGAAAGAAAUAAGUUUCAGAAAAAGAGUGCACUAAUUUAAAAAAAGGUUUAUCAGAUUUAUCAGAAAGAGAUGAGUUUCAAAAAUGCAGACUGAUUACAGGGAAAAGGUUUAUAAAGACGGAACAAGUUUUCAGAGAAGAUAUUCAGAAGAUUACCAGUUUUAGAAAAUUCAAAAAAUGGGUCUCAGAAAAGGUUUACCAGAACGAAUGCGAGUUUUAGAAAUUUGAUAUUGUUUUUUUUAAACGAAUGAGUUGGUUCAUAUUCGAGAUUUCCUAUAGGCAUGCUUUCUACAAGUUUACUGAGUUUUAACACAUUUUAGAUAUUAACAGAAGCCUUAUGAACAUGAUAUUUAUAUGCAGAUUUAUUAUUAAGCCAACAAACAGUUUGCCUAAGGACAUUUGCAUAUGCAGAAAUGCAGGAACCAAUAGGCAUGAUAUCUAUAUGUAUACUUGUAGAAAUCAGAAGUUAAAUCCCUAUAGGCAUGCUUUCUACCAUUUGUGCAUAAAAAUAAACCCCCUCCCAUUUCUGCUAAAUCCCUAUGAGUUUAUUACAAAUUAUUACAAACCGAUAAGCCAAACUAAAAAUUAAAAGUAUAUCAGAAGCUACAGCUACAUACGAGAGACCUAAUUUAGGCUUAGUGUCUAACAAUAUGAGAUGAACCACUUCCAAUAUCAAGAUUUCAAAAGCCUUCUUUUAGUUAGGGUGUUUCAAAGUUCCUAGGUAUUUCAAGAACUCCAGGUAGUACUUACACCCCAGAUAUCAAUUAGAAUGAAUCAAAAUGCAGUAUGGAAGGGCCAGCACUCGAGUGUCCAAGUUUAGGGGGAGCUCAUGGGUCCUAAGGCAAGGCUCACAAGAGGGGGCAGAACAUAAAUUCUAGGAAAAAAUGCAAGUGUAAUAGAAGGGUUUAGGGGGUGCCAAGGUAGGCUGGCGGUCAUGCCCAGCCAUAUGGUAGGCUGGCACACCCGUGACCAACCGGUCAGCAAUUAUGAGAAAAGAUCCAUUGAAGGUUAGACUAUGGUCUAGAUAAUGAUUAUGACACCGCCAGACCAAAGUCUCAAACUCAACAUACAUAUAAAGGCGAAUGGGGAUGGGAAUUGAAAGAGUUUAGGACCCAAGAGGGUCCAGUCCAUGUCCAUGGACAAUAACAUCAAGUAUUGCCAUGUUUUUGAACCAUAACUCAACCACAUAGAGGGGAUUAAGCUUUGGGAUCCAUAUAAGAAUAGGAACAAUAAAAGUAAAACUUGCAGAAAGUUACAUCAUGUAGACAGUAAAUCAAACAAGUAACUGACUAUAGAAUAAACACAUAGGAAUUAAACAUAAGAACAUACCAGUUGUUGAAAAGUAAGCAAAGAAAAGCAGGAUUCUUUCAAGCAAAGCCACAAUCAGAGAAAACCUUUAUGCUUGUGAGUUCAGAGAACUCGAGUGUUUGUGAAAUAUUCUAAGUAAAUUUUAAAAGUAUUCAUUGAAAGUAAUCAGAGUAGAUCAUGUAUUGAACUGUAAAAGGGUAUCCCUUUUUAUAGUGCAGAGAGGUAAGUAAAGAAGGCAAGAAGAUAUCACUGAAAUCAGACUCCCUUGUUUAAGGGUUUCUGAUUCCAACGGCUGAAAACAAGUUAAGGAAAGAAAAUUGGGUAAAGACCUUUCAAAGUCGCACAAAAGGGGUAAGUACAUAAAAGUUAUUUAAGGAAAACAAUCAAAGGCACACCGUUUGUGCCAAAUAUGGUAAAUGAAUCAAUUAAAGAGUCAUGAAACCAAAAUUGUAGGUUCCAUUUGAAUGAACCUAGUCAAUAAAGGUAGAGGAAGUUGAAUCGAAGAAACAAUUAGUGGCAGUCAGUCAAAGACCUCUAUCAAAGGGAUUUAGAAUCAAGCAAUUAGUUGUCAAAACCUUUUGAAAGCAGAGUUUUCAUAUAAAGCAAACAAAUCAAAUGAAGGAGUCCAACAUUGAAAGGUUUAGGGUAAUAAACCAAAGAAUACGAGUUCAAUUAGAGACUCAUAGUGGGUCUGAAGGUACAGGGUCCCAAAGUGAAACCCUAAUCCAAUUUAUCAAAGAAACCCUCAAAUUCUAGGUUUCAAGUCGAAUCAAACCCAGAAAAGAGAAGGCAGUUGACAAGACUCAAAGAGUCUCAUGAGUAACAAACAGACCAUGAUAGCAGGUUUGAAACAAUCAGAGAAAGAAAAUCAAUUUUAGAACAGAAAAGGACACGUUUUGGAAACUCGUAUCUUAGACAAGUCCAGAAUUGACGAAACAUGCUUAACAAGAACACAAACAGAGUUCAGAAAAGCAAAACUUAAGAAACUCAGUAGUAAACACACAUGGUAGAAAAGUGAGGAAAAUUUAACAGAGAUUAAUCAUGUGAGCAUACAUAUAAAAGAAAAGUAGAAAGACAAUAUUUGCGUAAUAGAGAAGUAAAACAUAUGAGCAUAAUACAGACAAACGCCUAAAAGAAAAGAACAACAAGAAUCAAAAGACUUUCAGAAACCCUAAUUUUAAAACCAACGAUUUUUGAAAAGGAAAUUUGGGGAAAACACUCAAAACGUCACAUAGAGCAUUGAUUCAGUACAGAUCUAUGCAAACAAACAAAAAAAGAACCUUGAAUAGUUUAGGGUUUCUGAGAAACCCUAGAAGCGAGAAAGGCCCAGAAGAACAAGAUCGGAUCUUGAGUCAAAAUGGUCAGAAAUCAAGCUUCCAGUGCUUGAACAUGCUAGAAUGUGGCCGAAAAAUCAUAGAUCUACGGAUCUGAGAUGGAUCUGAUAUGGAUCUGAGAGAGGACCAUCGAGGUCAAGCCUAUAGACUUCGUGUAACUCAUUCUUGGGGGUGAGAUAGGGAGAGUACGGGCCAUUCAUGGCUGGAGAUGCCAUGGAUUUCUGUGGGAAUGAGGUGAGAACAAGCGGGAGAUGAUUAGGGUUUAGGGGAGGCUAAAGAGCGUUUCAUAGAUGUGGGGUUUCAAGGGCAGCG